UACGUAGGGCGCAAGCGUUGUCCGGAAUUACUGGGCGUAAAGCGCACGUAGGCGGCUUUGUAAGUUAGAGGUGAAAGCCCGGAGCUCAACUCCGGAAUUGCCUUUAAGACUGCAUCGCUAGAAUUGUGGAGAGGUAAGUGGAAUUCCGAGUGUAGAGGUGAAAUUCGUAGAUAUUCGGAAGAACACCAGUGGCGAAGGCGACUUACUGGACACAUAUUGACGCUGAGGUGCGAAAGCGUGGGGAGCAAACAGG
RNAcentral lists this ribosomal RNA (253 nucleotides) under uncultured bacterium. Its description in RNAcentral is "partial 16S ribosomal RNA". It matches the Rfam family "Bacterial small subunit ribosomal RNA", at positions 524 to 776 of the family's 1533-position model. The record is from RNAcentral.